This 246-nucleotide long non-coding RNA is filed under the name Rattus norvegicus (Norway rat). RNAcentral describes it as "long non-coding RNA NONRATT031102". The record is from RNAcentral. Lineage: Eukaryota; Metazoa; Chordata; Mammalia; Rodentia; Muridae.
GUACCAAUACCAUGCAGUUUUUAUCACUAUUGCUCUGUUAUACUGCUUGAGUUCAGGGACAGUGAUUCCCCCAGAAAUUCUUUCAUUGUUGAGGACAGUUUUAGCUAUCCUGUGUUAUUUGUUAAUCCAGAUGAAUUUUCAAAUUGUUCUGUCUAAGUCUUUGAGGAAUUGGAUUGGUAUUUUGAUGGGGAUUGCAUUGAAUCUAUAGAAGGCUUUUUGUAAAAUGGCCAUUUUUACUAUAUUAAU